Molecule: ribosomal RNA, 397 nt
Filed under: uncultured bacterium
Lineage: Bacteria
Description: partial 16S ribosomal RNA
Rfam family: Bacterial small subunit ribosomal RNA
Source: RNAcentral
AUACGUAGGUGACAAGCGUUAUCCGGAUUUACUGGGCGUAAAGGGCGUGUAGGCGGUCUUGCAAGUCAGAAGUGAAAUUCCUGAGCUCAACUCGGGCGCUGCUUCUGAAACUGCAGGACUUGAGUGCUGGAGGGGAUAGCGGAAUUCCUAGUGGAGCGGUAAAAUGCGCAGAUAUUAGGAAGAACACCGGUGGCGAAGGCGGCUAUCUGGACAGUAACUGACGCUGAGGCGCGAAAGCGGGGGGAGCAAACAGGAUUAGAUGCCCUGGUAGGCCACGCCGUAAACGAUGAAUACUAGGUGUAGGGGGUAUCGACUCCCUCUGUGCCGCAGUUAACACAAUAAGUAUUCCGCCUGGGGAGUACGGCCGCAAGGUUGAAACUCAAAUGAAUUGACGGGG